GACGAACGCUGGCGGCGUGCUUAACACAUGCAAGUCGAACGAUGAAGAAAAGAAUCGAAGCUUCGGCAGAAAUUCAUUUCGGAUUAGUGGCAGACGGGUGAGUAACGCGUGAGCAACCUACCUCUUACAAAGGGAUAGCCUCGGGAAACCGGGAUUAAUACCAUAUAACAUUGCGACGAAGCAUUUCGAUGCAAUCAAAGCUACGGCGGUAAGAGAUGGGCUCGCGUCCCAUUAACCGGAUGGUGAGGUAACGGCUCACCAUAGUGACGAUGGGUAACCGGGCUGAGAGGGUGAACGGUCACACUGGAACUGAGACACGGUCGAGACUCCUACGGGAGGCAGCAGUGGGGAAUAUUGCACAAUGGAGGGAGCUCUGAUGCAGCGACGCCGCGUGAGUGAUGAAGGAAUUCGUUUCGUAAAACUCUGUUCUAUGGGAAGAAAAGGACUGUACCAUAGGAGAAAGCUCCGGCUAAAUACGUG
RNAcentral lists this ribosomal RNA (480 nucleotides) under uncultured bacterium. RNAcentral describes it as "partial 16S ribosomal RNA". It matches the Rfam family "Bacterial small subunit ribosomal RNA", at positions 28 to 507 of the family's 1533-position model. The record is from RNAcentral.